AUUGAACGCUGGCGGCAGGCCUAACACAUGCAAGUCGAACGGUAACAGGAAACAGCUUGCUGUUUCGCUGACGAGUGGCGGACGGGUGAGUAAUGUCUGGGAAACUGCCUGAUGGAGGGGGAUAACUACUGGAAACGGUAGCUAAUACCGCAUAACGUCGCAAGACCAAAGAGGGGGACCCUCGGGCCUCUUGCCAUCGGAUGUGCCCAGAUGGGAUUAGCUUGUUGGUGGGGUAACGGCUCACCAAGGCGACGAUCCCUAGCUGGUCUGAGAGGAUGACCAGCCACUCUGGAACUGAGACACGGUCCAGACUCCUACGGGAGGCAGCAGUGGGGAAUAUUGCACAAUGGGCGCAAGCCUGAUGCAGCCAUGCCGCGUGUAUGAAGAAGGCCUUCGGGUUGUAAAGUACUUUCAGCGGGGAGGAAGGGAGUAAAGUUAAUACCUUUGCUCAUUGACGUUACCCGCAGAAGAAGCACCGGCUAACUCCGUG
RNAcentral lists this ribosomal RNA (490 nucleotides) under uncultured bacterium. Its description in RNAcentral is "partial 16S ribosomal RNA". It matches the Rfam family "Bacterial small subunit ribosomal RNA", at positions 30 to 507 of the family's 1533-position model. The record is from RNAcentral.